UGGCUCAGUUGGUUAGAGCGCCGCCCUGUCACGGCGGAGGUCGCGGGUUCGAGUCCC
This 57-nucleotide transfer RNA is filed under the name Roseburia intestinalis L1-82. RNAcentral's name for it is "tRNA-Asp". It matches the Rfam family "tRNA", at positions 8 to 61 of the family's 71-position model. From Rfam's summary of the family: Transfer RNA (tRNA) molecules are approximately 80 nucleotides in length. Their secondary structure includes four short double-helical elements and three loops (D, anti-codon, and T loops). Lineage: Bacteria; Bacillati; Bacillota; Clostridia; Lachnospirales; Lachnospiraceae. The record is from RNAcentral.